GCCGAAGAGGGGUUUGCGUCUGAUUAGCUGGUUGGAGGGUAACGGCCAACAAGGCGAUGAUCAGUAGCCCCGGUCCUGAGAGGAUGAACGGCCACAUUGGGACUGAGACACGGCCCAGACUCCUACGGGAGGCAGCAGUGGGGGAAUCUUCCGCAAUGGACGAAAGUCUGACGGAGCAACGCCGCGUGAGUGAAGAAGGUCUUCGGAUUGUAAAGCUCUGUUAUACGGGACGAAAAAGACGGAUGCCAACAGUAUCCGUCCGUGACGGUACCGUAAGAGAAAGCCACGGCUAACUACGUGCCAGCAGCCGCGGUAAU
This 317-nucleotide ribosomal RNA is filed under the name uncultured Megasphaera sp. RNAcentral's name for it is "bacterial SSU rRNA". It matches the Rfam family "Bacterial small subunit ribosomal RNA", at positions 218 to 524 of the family's 1533-position model. The record is from RNAcentral. Lineage: Bacteria; Bacillati; Bacillota; Negativicutes; Veillonellales; Veillonellaceae.